UUUUCGAUACAAUAUGGCACUGUUUACAAGUUGCUUUUGAUCGAAUUGUUUAUCCAUGAGCAUUUGUAUGGAUAUACAGAUUCCAUCAGUUUUUCAACCUAGAUGUAAACUCAAGCUUCAAGACACUCUUUUGCAUACAUUUUUAAGGUGCUCUAUUAGUUUCCAUGAUACAUUAUACAUCAUGACAGCGAUUCAUAUAUGGUUUUGGAAUGACGAUGCUGCAGCACUACACAACUUUAGUAAAUUUAAAAGAUAUUUGUAUGGACAGAUUUCAUCUAUGUAUGGGCAGAUUUCAUCAGUUCUUCAAACUGGAUGCAAACCAGCUUCAAAAUAUUUCCUUGCAUUUCCAAGGUGUUCCAAUAGUUUUUAGUGGUGCAUGAUACAUCAUGACAGCAAUUCAUACAUGAUUUUGGAAUGACGAUACUGCAGCAUUACACAACUCUAGCAUUUGUAUGGACAGAUUCCAUCAGUUCUUCAAACUGGAUGUAAUAAAUUCAUGUAUGGUUUGGAAUGAUGAUGCUGUGGCACUACGUAAUUCUUACAUUUAAAUGGACAGAGAUUCCAUCAGUUCUUCAUAUCAGAUGGAAACCAGUUUCAAGAUUUUCAAGGUGUUUCAUUAGUUUCCACUGGUGCAUAAUACAUUUGUAACAACAAUCCAUAUAUGAUUUUGGAAUGAUGAUGACAUUACAUAGCUCUAAAGCAUUUGUAUAUAUUUGGAUAGAUGUACAGAUUCCAUCAGUUCUUCAAACUGGAUACAACCCAUCUUCAAGACAAUUCAAUCGGUUCUUCAAUUGGAUGCAAACCAGCUUCAACACAUUUCCUUGCAUACAUUUCCAAGGUGUUCCGUUAGUUUUUACUAGUGCAUAAUACAUUGUAACAACAUUUCAUAUAUGUAUGAUUUUGGAGUGAUGAUGCUGUGGCAUUAUAUAACUCUAGGAUUUAAAUGGACGCAGAUUCCAUCAGUUCUUCAUACUAGAUGGAAACCAGCUUUAAGACACCUCCUUGCAUAUCUUUCCAAGAUAUUUCAAUAGAUAAUACAUUGUAAGCAAUUCAUAUAUGGUUUGGAAUGAUGAUGCUGUGGGGCUACGUAACUCUUACAUUUAAAUGGACACAGAUUCCAUCAGUUCUUCAUACUAAAUGGAAACCAGCUUCAAGACAUCUCCUUCCAUAUAUUUCCAAAAUGUUCCAAUAGACAGUACAUUGUAAUAGCAAUUCAUAUAUGGUUUGGAAUGACUGCUGUGACACUACAUAACUAGCAUUUGUACGGAUACCGAUUCAAUCAGUUCUUUGCCACCAGAUGGAAACCAGCUUCAAGACACUUUCUUGCAUAUAUGUAUUUCCAAGACGUUCCAAGAUGAUAGAUCAUAACAGCAAUUUAUAUAUAUAUAUAUAUAUAUAUAUAUAUAUAUAUAUAGUUUGGAAUAAUGAUGCUGUGGCACUACAUUACUCUAGUAAAUCCAAAUGCUUUUGAAGCAUAUUUAAUAUUAAGGUGCAUCUGAAUUGAGCCUCAAUCAACCAGGAUCAACUUGUCUCUUUGACAUUGUGCAUAAUUUCUUCAUCUCAGCUGACAAACUUAGAACCACAGAUAAUAGCCGUCAAACUGAUGGCUUCGAAACAACGUUACCGAAGCAACAGUCAUGAAAGGUGUACAUGCAAAUAAUUAGUUAUCUCUAUCAAUUAUUUAAUCCGGAAGUGACUAUCUUCUCGAGGACAUUAGUGUUGCUGCAUAUAAAAAGAGACAAAGAUCCAUCCAAAAAUAUUCAUGUCUUUCUAAUUUUCGAUUUCCUAUAAACUAGUAGUAUGUAAGCAUAUAUUAUGAUUAUGUUCCGUUUAUUUACUGCCAAAGUAUAUUCUAUUUUGUUCGAUGCAAAAUUAGGAAAAUUGUCCUAUUUUAUAUAUAUUAUGUUAUAAAUUAAUGAUACU
Molecule: non-coding RNA, 1923 nt
Organism: Nylanderia fulva
Lineage: Eukaryota; Metazoa; Arthropoda; Insecta; Hymenoptera; Formicidae
Source: RefSeq, a predicted model, not a curated record